RNAcentral lists this ribosomal RNA (510 nucleotides) under uncultured bacterium. Its description in RNAcentral is "bacterial SSU rRNA". It matches the Rfam family "Bacterial small subunit ribosomal RNA", at positions 28 to 521 of the family's 1533-position model. The record is from RNAcentral.
GACGAACGCUGGCGACGUGCCUAAUACAUGCAAGUCGAGCGGACCAAAGGGAGCUUGCUCCUGGAGGUUAGCGGCGAACGGGUGAGUAACACGUGGGCAACCUGCCUGUAAGACUGGGAUAACAUCGAGAAAUCGGUGCUAAUACCGGAUAAUAAAAAGAACUGCAUGGUUCUUUUUUGAAAGAUGGUUUCGGCUAUCACUUACAGAUGGGCCCGCGGCGCAUUAGCUAGUUGGUGAGGUAACGGCUCACCAAGGCGACGAUGCGUAGCCGACCUGAGAGGGUGAUCGGCCACACUGGGACUGAGACACGGCCCAGACUCCUACGGGAGGCAGCAGUAGGGAAUCUUCCGCAAUGGACGAAAGUCUGACGGAGCAACGCCGCGUGAGUGAUGAAGGUUUUCGGAUCGUAAAACUCUGUUGUUAGGGAAGAACAAGUGCCGUUCGAAAGGGCGGCACCUUGACGGUACCUAACGAGAAAGCCACGGCUAACUACGUGCCAGCAGCCGCGGU